CCAGUAACAUGGUUCCCUGAUUCCCUUCCAUAUCGGCCUCUGUGCAUCCCAUGUUUGUAUCCCCGCGCCACUUUUCCCAGUGAAUCUGAUCUAUUUUCCUCUCUUAAUCAGGUUCCGUCGGUUGGUUGUGGCGACACCACCUGCCCAGAGCCACCGACCCCUGGUACCAACAUCUGCCAGGUAAGUAGUAAAGGAACUAUUUUAUUUUCUGAGUUAAUUAAUGAUAAUGAGCUACAGAACUAUAGUAAGUUGAUCCCAUAACUAAUCGUAUCGCUCUUCAUCAGGAGGAGCCAGAGCAGGUUGCUGAGCCUGGCGAGGAGAUUGAGGAGCGCCCAGAAACACCCGGGGCUCAGACUCGCCAGGAGGAACCAGCUGACAAUCCCUCCGACAUUAACACCUGUCAGGUAAGUAAAAGGGAAGGGAGACAUAUUGUGAAAAUGGCGCCAC
Xenopus tropicalis (tropical clawed frog) is the source of this 447-nucleotide long non-coding RNA. RefSeq lists it as uncharacterized. The transcript is spliced from 3 exons. Lineage: Eukaryota; Metazoa; Chordata; Amphibia; Anura; Pipidae. The record is from RefSeq and is a predicted model, not a curated record.